AUUGAACGCUGGCGGCAGGCCUAACACAUGCAAGUCGAACGGUAAUAGGAAGCAGCUUGCUGCUUUGCUGACGAGUGGCGGACGGGUGAGUAAUGUCUGGGAAACUGCCUGAUGGAGGGGGAUAACUACUGGAAACGGUAGCUAAUACCGCAUAACGUCGCAAGACCAAAGAGGGGGACCUUCGGGCCUCUUGCCAUCGGAUGUGCCCAGAUGGGAUUAGCUAGUAGGUGGGGUAACGGCUCACCUAGGCGACGAUCCCUAGCUGGUCUGAGAGGAUGACCAGCCACACUGGAACUGAGACACGGUCCAGACUCCUACGGGAGGCAGCAGUGGGGAAUAUUGCACAAUGGGCGCAAGCCUGAUGCAGCCAUGCCGCGUGUAUGAAGAAGGCCUUCGGGUUGUAAAGUACUUUCAGCGGGGAGGAAGGGAGUAAAGUUAAUACCUUUGCUCAUUGACGUUACCCGCAGAAGAAGCACCGGCUAACUCCGUG
RNAcentral lists this ribosomal RNA (490 nucleotides) under uncultured bacterium. RNAcentral's name for it is "partial 16S ribosomal RNA". It matches the Rfam family "Bacterial small subunit ribosomal RNA", at positions 30 to 507 of the family's 1533-position model. The record is from RNAcentral.